CAGUCGCCGCGGGAAUACGAAGGGUGCAAGCGUUACUCGGAAUUACUGGGCGUAAAGCGUGCGUAGGUGGUGGUUUAAGUCCGUUGUGAAAGCCCUGGGCUCAACCUGGGAAUUGCAGUGGAUACUGGGUCACUAGAGUGUGGUAGAGGAUAGUGGAAUUUCCGGUGUAGCAGUGAAAUGCGUAGAGAUCGGAAGGAACACCAGUGGCGAAGGCGACUACCUGGACUGAUACUGACACUGAGGUGCGAAAGCGUGGGGAGCAAACAGGAUUAGAUACCCGUGUAGUCCCUGUCUCUUAUAA
This 301-nucleotide ribosomal RNA is filed under the name uncultured bacterium. RNAcentral describes it as "partial 16S ribosomal RNA". It matches the Rfam family "Bacterial small subunit ribosomal RNA", at positions 509 to 809 of the family's 1533-position model. The record is from RNAcentral.